Long non-coding RNA from Pollicipes pollicipes, 288 nucleotides. RefSeq lists it as uncharacterized. The transcript is spliced from 3 exons. The record is from RefSeq and is a predicted model, not a curated record. Lineage: Eukaryota; Metazoa; Arthropoda; Thecostraca; Pollicipedomorpha; Pollicipedidae.
CAAAAUAACACCUGACCUUGACGUGCCCGACCUUCACAAGACAUAUCUAGAUGCAUAUGUACCCGAGGGAAAGCAAACUAGCGCCAUAAGCUACAUAUUUUGGAUCAUCAGCGCAGUGCCGGACCGUGAUGGAAGUGACGUCGGAAUUGUUAAAGUCGUUUCAUUUAGAUCCUAGCUUCUCGCUAUUGACGGUGCGAUCGUCUGUGCUUUGCAUGGAGCUGUUCAAUUUGCUUGACAUACAUGAAGCAUCGGCAAUUAAUGAUGUGAUUUUCUGUUCGUGGCUGCGCA